Coffea arabica (coffee) is the source of this 1240-nucleotide long non-coding RNA. RefSeq lists it as uncharacterized. Lineage: Eukaryota; Viridiplantae; Streptophyta; Magnoliopsida; Gentianales; Rubiaceae. The record is from RefSeq and is a predicted model, not a curated record.
UUGGAUAAAGGUUUGCCUUUUUUUUUCCUCAAUCGGUUUUUCAUACUCUGUUGUCUUAUCUUACGAGGUAAUGGGUCUGGAUUUGAAGCAGGUGCAUCAACGAUUGUAAGAUUUUUCUUGGUUGGGUCUUGUCAUCAGAUGCGUAAAAGGAGAGAUGGGGUUUAGUAGCUGUUUCAGUGCAUUUGGUUCUUGCAAGGGACAAAUAAAGCACAUGUGCCAUGAGCUAUGGUACAUUUGCUACUGGGGGUUGUGAUGGUUAUGUUAGUGUGUGGGAUGGAAACAACAAAAAAAGGCUGUAUCAGUCUCAUUCAACUUACAGUACUCAAAAUACCCAGCAAGCCAUGUUGAAGACGUUGAGGGAAAAUAAGGACCGAUUUGACUUAGUAAUUAGGGAUGUUCAUAUGCCUGACAUGGAUGGCUAUAAGCUUUUGGAGCUUGUUGGACUUGAAAUGGACCUUCCUGUCAUGAUGUUAUCAGCAAACAGUGAUCCCAAGCUUGUAAUAAAAGGGGUCAUGCAUGGUGCAUGUGACUUUGGUGAAACUUGUUCGAAUUAAGGAGCUGAGGAAUAUUUGGCAACAUGUUAUCAGGAAAAAGAAGUUUGAUACCAAGAAACAAGGCAAGUCUACUUAUGAAGACAAGGCUGUUCAGGGAAAUAGAGAUGUCUGUCACGGGCAUCAGAAUACAGGUAACAGAGAUCAGAAUGGGAAGCUUAAUAAAAAGAGGAAGGAUGAAGAAGAUGAGAGUGAAGAUGACGGACAUGAUCAUGAAGAUCCAGCAACACAGAUCUAGCCUAACUUUGUUAUUUUGUUACUGGUUGAUAAUAUGAUUAUUAGGAAGAGGAUUCAUGUUCGCGUAGAGCAUGUUCAGCCUUCUCGAUGCAAUGAGGAAAUCAAGCAUAGAACAGAAAAAAUGAUGAAUUGAAGGCUGCAGCAAAGGCAAGAGGUGAGGUCAACAACACUAAGAGGCAACCUGAAGGCCCCAAACCAGGUUUCAUGGUAGAAGGUGCAACUUUGGAGACUGUAACUCCAAUUCCAUAUAAUGUGGUCGAUCUCAAAGGGGGUUACUAAGUUUGUACUGUGCUGGAGUUCUCUCUGUUUGUUUAUCGCUUAAACAAUUGAAGACUAGAAAAUCUGUUUUUCCCCUCAUAGCCUUCAAAUUAGUGCGGAUUUGGUAUUUUUGUAAUAUUAGUAGAGGCAUUGGCCAUUGAGUUUUGUGUUUAAUGAAAGUAAUGUUGGCAAAA